This 2234-nucleotide long non-coding RNA is filed under the name Monodelphis domestica (gray short-tailed opossum). Its description in RNAcentral is "lncRNA (ENSMODG00000042576.1)". The record is from RNAcentral. Lineage: Eukaryota; Metazoa; Chordata; Mammalia; Didelphimorphia; Didelphidae.
UAAGAAAACUAAUGCUUAAAGAGAUUGUGUCUUGCUCAAAGUCAUACAACUAGUAAAUUUCAGGGGACUAAUCUUGAAACCCAUUUUUUCAUGAUCCAAGACCAUCAUUAUUUCUAUUAUAUUAUAUUGUCUCUAGACUUUUGUCAAGAAACUAAAAUGAAAGGAAAUCCUGACACAGAGAUCCAAUUCAAUUCUACAAAUAUUUAUUGAGUUCCUACUAUAUCCAGCCCACUAAGAUCAGUGUUAGAACUAUCAUAAAGAAAAAAAUAGUCUGUUCUUUGGAGAGUUUAUAAUGUAAUAAGGAAAAUGUGAUGCUCCAUUUACACGAACACACGUGAGGCAGAAUGUGAUAAAUGUAAACAAUUGAUUUCCCAUAAUGUUCUAAAGUGUUAGAUGAGGAAAACCACUUUCAGUUGGAUGAUAGGGAUGGGAAUACAGCUGAAUUCACUUAGGUGAAUUCAUCUUGAGUGACUUUAAGGAAGAAAGGAAUUUCAGGGCUGAGCUUUUGUGUUAAUCACAUGAAGUUGUAUUGGACACUUGGCAAAACUUAAUGCACUAUACUUAAUGUAAGUAUUGUUGUAGACUGAGAAAGGGGGAAAGUCCAGAAAAUAUACAGUUAAAUAAUCUGAGCUUUUAUGCAUUUUGUCAGGUUGGGUAUUUAGAGAUCACUCAUAUCAAAGUCUCUGAAUCAACUUUUCCCCCACCAUUGCAGUUUCACACCAAUCAUGAAGUAGAAAUAGCUCUUAAAAUUCGAAGCAAAAUGACCCAAAAUUUUCUUUCCAGACUCAUUAGGUAUUACACUCUAUUAAUCUUCACUUCUGUACUUUGUAUUUCAGAUAAUCUGACAGUCUCUCUGUUCUUCAUCCUCAUGGAGAUGAGGAACAGAGAACAAAGUGAAGCCGACCAAAUUGAAAUCAGAAUGCUGGGGUACUCUGAUGAGAAGAAACCUAUUGUUUUACAGCAUUAAUUGAAACAAAUUCAGCUCAGGGAACCAUCUAUCAAAUUCAGUUCAAAUAAGUGGAAAAAUGUCAGAUGUGAUGUGGGUCUUGUACUAGCAUUAUAUUUGAAAUGAUAAAUAACUUUGAAGCACAAUACUAGCUAUCUCUCUCAGAUAUGUUGGUGCCUUCAAAGAACCAUAAUUUCAUUUUUGUGAGCAUGUCUUCAACAGAUACAGAUCAAAACAUCUCCCCUUUUUCUCACAUGUCCUCUGUGAUAGAUACUCCUUGAAUAUCAUUUCCAAAGAAGUAAAAAUGAAGAUAAUCACACAGGACACAAUGGGAUGGUUCAUUGUUGGUGAUUAGACUACAAAAGGAAACCACUGAAGAACGUUGAAGAACAGGAGAAAAAAAUCUAUAAAUGAACUGUAAAAUAAGAAAUGAUAAUCAUUCAUGAAAUAAGUGCAAGAGAUGAAAGAUAAACAGGCAAAGGUAUUCUCUUGUAGCAUUGGGAUGUCAAGAAAAAGCCAGGAAGACCUUUACCUUCUUGGAUGAAGUUUAUGUGGUUAACUAAGAGGAAAAUAUGAGCAAGAUCUAAGAUAGCUAUUAUCAGGAAUGGAUGGGCAGUGAUCUCUAUAUUUGGACAGAACAACCAGAUACAAGGUCACAGAUCCAUUGAACUAUGAUUAAUCCUAGAAGCUUUUAUGCAAUUUAUUGUAGAAAUUCUUUUCUUGUUCUUUAAGUAUCUUGACUGUCAACAUUUUACAUAUCAUGAUAAGCUUCUUUUUCUUCUUUGGGAACAAGAAUACCUUUGCCUAAGGAAGAAGAAAAUACCAUGGAAUCUCUUUAAUAAGAUUUGUAAUCAAUAACGAGUUUGCCAAUAAGGUCCCCUCAAUUCUAUUCCCAUCAAUAAUCAAAUGAGAUAAGCUUACUAGGUCAAACUACAAAUGUAACAAGUGUAUAAAGAAUGCAUACUACAUAAAUUAUGACAUGCAACAGGAUGGGUACCCCAUUAAGUAAGUAAGUAUUCAUGUUAUUCUUCACAGGCUUCAUAGCAGGGCACUUCUGAAGAACAAUGAGCCAGACACAGAACUGAAAAAGUGGAAGGAAUUAGAUUGGCUUUCAUUUGGGAGACUACUUUAUUGCAAUGAUUACCAACUGCUCCCUGACACUUAAAUCUUUCUUUUGAGCAACAAUCUUCUCUCAGGGCUUCUAUUUUCCUAUAACACAUUUUUCAAACAAAACAGAAUUGUAGUAGCCCAAAAUAAACAUGAGAUGUGCAUAUUUAAAGAGUCUCUU